GUGGUUUAAUUCGAUGAUACGCGAGGAACCUUACCUGGGCUCGAACGUAAGAUGACUGUAGGUGAAAGCUUACAUCUCUUCGGAGCAUUUUACGAGGUGCUGCAUGGUUGUCGUCAGCUCGUGCCGUGAGGUGUCGGGUUAAGUCCCAUAACGAGCGCAACCCCUACCUUUAGUUGCCAUCAGGUUAAGCUGGGGACUCUAAAGGAACUGCCUACGCAAGUAGUGAGGAAGCGGGGAUGACGUCAAAUCAGCACGGCCCUUACGUCCAGGGCUACACACGUGCUACAAUGGCCGAUACAGAGGGCAGCUACCUGGUGACAGGAUGCAAAUCUCCAAAGUCGGUCUCAGUUCGGAUCGGAGUCUGCAACCCGACUCCGUGAAGUUGGAUUCGCUAGUAAUCGCGCAUCAGCCAUGGCGCGGUGAAUACGUUCCCGGGCCUU
This 440-nucleotide ribosomal RNA is filed under the name uncultured Sphingobacteriales bacterium. RNAcentral's name for it is "bacterial SSU rRNA". It matches the Rfam family "Bacterial small subunit ribosomal RNA", at positions 941 to 1382 of the family's 1533-position model. The record is from RNAcentral. Lineage: Bacteria; Pseudomonadati; Bacteroidota; Sphingobacteriia; Sphingobacteriales.